Molecule: non-coding RNA, 390 nt
Organism: Phoenix dactylifera (date palm)
Lineage: Eukaryota; Viridiplantae; Streptophyta; Magnoliopsida; Arecales; Arecaceae
Source: RefSeq, a predicted model, not a curated record
GGGAAGAAGGCUAAGUUUCAGCCUCGGCGUUGCAGAGCCCAAGUUUGGGUCUCAGGAAGUGACCAAGAUUCCUUGCCAGAGCAAUGAGUUUGUUCUCGAGCUCCUUCAUGGUGUCAGGUUGCACUUUGAUAGGUUCAUUAAAGACUUAAAGCCAUCAGACUUGGAGAAGGCUCAGCUGGGUUUGAGUACAAUCAUUGUUCAGGAUCUCGGUCAUUUGUUACAACAAUGACUAUACCGCUGGAGUUUAAUAGUUCUGAAAAUCUUGAAUUUUCAGAAUUCUAUAAGAAAACUCAUACCAAGAAGAACAAAGAAUGAAUUGAUCCUAUUUGCGCCGUGAAACAUUCAAAGAUGUUGAGCUUGCGAGAAGAAUCUUUCCAAUCCGGUGUGCAA